RNAcentral lists this ribosomal RNA (475 nucleotides) under uncultured organism. Its description in RNAcentral is "partial 16S ribosomal RNA". It matches the Rfam family "Bacterial small subunit ribosomal RNA", at positions 329 to 796 of the family's 1533-position model. The record is from RNAcentral.
ACGUACACUCCUGCGGGAGGCAGCAGUGGGGAAUUUUGGACAAUGGGCGAAAGCCUGAUCCAGCCAUGCCGCGUGCAGGAUGAAGGCCUUCGGGUUGUAAACUGCUUUUGUACGGAACGAAACGGCCUUUUCUAAUAAAGAGGGCUAAUGACGGUACCGUAAGAAUAAGCACCGGCUAACUACGUGCCAGCAGCCGCGGUAAUACGUAGGGUGCAAGCGUUAAUCGGAAUUACUGGGCGUAAAGCGUGCGCAGGCGGUUAUGUAAGACAGUUGUGAAAUCCCCGGGCUCAACCUGGGAACUGCAUCUGUGACUGCAUAGCUAGAGUACGGUAGAGGGGGAUGGAAUUCCGCGUGUAGCAGUGAAAUGCGUAGAUAUGCGGAGGAACACCGAUGGCGAAGGCAAUCCCCUGGACCUGUACUGACGCUCAUGCACGAAAGCGUGGGGAGCAAACAGGAUUAGAAACCCGAGUAGUCC